Non-coding RNA from Pelobates cultripes (western spadefoot toad), 231 nucleotides. The record is from the annotation of a GenBank genome assembly. NCBI's taxonomy places the organism in Eukaryota, Metazoa, Chordata, Amphibia, Anura, Pelobatidae.
CUCUUUGCAACCAUGUGCUUAAUGGAGUCUUGUGUCUGUCCUGGGAGAUAAUUGAAUUACUCUCCAGGAUAGAAGUCUCUGAAACUGGUUUGGGCCAGAAAGCCAUGCUUCAUUUAGUCACAAAGGACUUUUUACUAACUUUUGAACCUCUUGUCUGAUUUGUGCCAUUUUUUUAAUAUGUUGCUCCCCUGAAUGGAUUGAUUCCAAAUAUGUAAUUUUAUGUGAAUGUGA